RNAcentral lists this unclassified non-coding RNA (351 nucleotides) under soil metagenome. RNAcentral's name for it is "partial contains 5.8S ribosomal RNA, internal transcribed spacer 2, and large subunit ribosomal RNA". The stretch from base 1 to 120 matches the Rfam family "5.8S ribosomal RNA", at positions 35 to 154 of the family's 154-position model. The record is from RNAcentral.
GAUGAAGAACGCAGCGAAAUGCGAUACGUAAUGUGAAUUGCAGAAUUCAGUGAAUCAUCGAGUCUUUGAACGCACAUUGCGCCCCCUGGUAUUCCGGGGGGCAUGCCUGUCCGAGCGUCAUUGCUGCCCUCAAGCACGGCUUGUGUGUUGGGCCUCCGUCCUCCUCCCGGGGGACGGGCCCGAAAGGCAGCGGCGGCACCGCGUCCGGUCCUCGAGCGUAUGGGGCUUCGUCACCCGCUCUUGUAGGCCCGGCCGGCGCUGGCCGACGCGAAAGCAACCAUUUUUUCUCCAGGUUGACCUCGGAUCAGGUAGGGAUACCCGCUGAACUUAAGCAUAUCAAUAAGCGGAGGA